CGUAGGUGGCAAGCGUUGUCCGGAUUACUGGGCGUAAAGCGCGCGCAGGCGGAUGGUUAAGUAGGAAGUGAAAGGUUGGAGCUCAACUCCAACAUUGCUCCCUAUACUGGCCGUCUUGAGUCCCGGAGAGGAAAGCGGAACGACACGUGGAGCGGUGAAAUGCGUUGAUAUGUGUCGGAACACCAAUGGCGAAGGCAGCUUUCUGGACGGUACUGACGCUCAGGCGCGAAAGCCGAGGUAGCGAACAGGAUU
Molecule: ribosomal RNA, 252 nt
Filed under: uncultured bacterium
Lineage: Bacteria
Description: partial 16S ribosomal RNA
Rfam family: Bacterial small subunit ribosomal RNA
Source: RNAcentral